UACGGAAGGGGCAAGCGUUGUUCGGAAUCAUUGGGCGUAAAGGGCGCGUAGGUGGUUCUGUAUGUCUACCGUGAAAGCAUACAGCUCAACUGUAUUUUGUCGGUAGAAACUGCAGGACUUGAGGCUGGGAGGGGCUGGUGGAAUUCCCUGUGUAGCGGUGAAAUGCGUAGAUAUCUGGAGGAACACCGGUGGCGAAGGCGGCAUCCUGGACCAACACUGACGCUGAUGAGCGAAAGCCAGGGGAGCAAACGGG
RNAcentral lists this ribosomal RNA (253 nucleotides) under uncultured bacterium. Its description in RNAcentral is "partial 16S ribosomal RNA". It matches the Rfam family "Bacterial small subunit ribosomal RNA", at positions 524 to 776 of the family's 1533-position model. The record is from RNAcentral.